GAUGAACGCUAGCUACAGGCUUAACACAUGCAAGUCGAGGGGUAGCAGGGUAGCAAUACCGCUGACGACCGGCGCACGGGUGAGUAACACGUAUCCAACCUUCCCAUAACUCGGGGAUAGCCUUUCGAAAGAAAGAUUAAUACCGGAUGGUACUUUUUCAAGGCAUCUUGAGAAAGUUAAAGAUUUAUUGGUUAUGGAUGGGGAUGCGUUCCAUUAGAUAGUUGGUGAGGUAACGGCUCACCAAGUCUUCGAUGGAUAGGGGUUCUGAGAGGAAGGUCCCCCACAUUGGUACUGAGACACGGACCAAACUCCUACGGGAGGCAGCAGUGAGGAAUAUUGGUCAAUGGGCGAGAGCCUGAACCAGCCAAGUAGCGUGAAGGAUGAAGGUCCUAUGGAUUGUAAACUUCUUUUAUAGUAGAAUAAAGUGACCCACGUGUGGGUUUUUGUAUGUAUACUAUGAAUAAGGAUCGGCUAACUCCGUG
RNAcentral lists this ribosomal RNA (482 nucleotides) under uncultured bacterium. RNAcentral describes it as "bacterial SSU rRNA". It matches the Rfam family "Bacterial small subunit ribosomal RNA", at positions 28 to 507 of the family's 1533-position model. The record is from RNAcentral.